Molecule: ribosomal RNA, 253 nt
Filed under: uncultured bacterium
Lineage: Bacteria
Description: partial 16S ribosomal RNA
Rfam family: Bacterial small subunit ribosomal RNA
Source: RNAcentral
UACGUAGGGAGCUAGCGUUGUCCGGAAUCAUUGGGCGUAAAGCGCGCGUAGGCGGCCCGGUAAGUCCGCUGUGAAAGUCAAAGGCUCAACCUUUGAAUGUCAGCGGAUACUGCCGGGCUAGAGUCCGGAAGAGGCGAGUGGAACUCCUGGUGUAGCGGUGAAAUGCGCAGAUAUCAGGAAGAAUAUCCGUGGCGAAGGCGGCUCUCUGGUACGGCACUGACGCUGAGACGCGAAAGCGUGGGGAGCGAAAAGG